Molecule: ribosomal RNA, 563 nt
Filed under: uncultured eukaryote
Lineage: Eukaryota
Description: SSU rRNA
Rfam family: Eukaryotic small subunit ribosomal RNA
Source: RNAcentral
CUGGUUGAUCCUGCCUGAACUGAUGUGCUUAUCUCAAAGAUUAAGCCAUGCAUGUCUAAGUAUAAACGAUUUAAUCGUGAAACCGCGAAUGGCUCAUUAUAACAGCUAUAAUUUACUUGAUCUUGACACAAUCCUACUUGGAUAACUGUGGUAAUUCUAGAGCUAAUACAUGCAUUAAAGCUCUGACCUCACGGGAAGAGUGCAUUUAUUAGAACAAAACCAAGCGGCUUCGGCUGUUUCUGGUUGACUCAUAGUAACUGAGCUGAUCGCAUGGUCUUGCACCGGCGACGUGUCUUUCAAGUAUCUGCCGUAUCAACUUUCGAUGGUAGUGUAUCUGACUACCAUGGUGAUCACGCGUAACGGAGAAUAAGGGUUCGGCUCCGGAGAGUUCGCCUGAGAAAUCGCGAACACAUCUAAGGAAGGCAGCAGGCGCGAAAAUUACCCACUCUCAGCACGAGGAGGUAGUGACGAAAAAUAACGAGACCGUUCUCUUAUGAGGCCGGUCAUCGGAAUGGGUACAAUUUAAACCCUUUAACGAGUAUCUAUGAGAGGGCAAGUCUGGU